GACGUGGACCCCAAUUUUUGUAGAACUCCUUAAGCUCCUCCUCCUGCGAGCACUAGAAAUAAUUUUCCGUCCACAAUAGGCGUCAAAAUCGCAUAGAAAUCGCGCGAGUAAUAUCUCAGUCUCCCUCAAAACCAUUCGAUUAAAUUCCAUCCUAUCAAGUAUCAACUACUUGUAGGGUUUUAUCAUCUCUCUUUUUUUCUUUCCUUCCCCGCUCGAAUGCUAUGUGGACAUUGGGCGAUUCCCUCUCCCGAGUUACGGCAAUGAUUAGGGCAAUCUCUUCACGAUUCUCGAUGCCACCGAUCCGAACGGAGCAGAUGCAUUGAUCCAACUCCUCUCUGUAAUCAUAUCUGAAGGAUGCUUUGCUCAAGGGAGUUUUUCUUGACAGUGAGGCAUUCAGCUCCCUGGUUUCCUCUUUUAAUGUGGGCUCCUCGGAUCGAAAAGAAUUAGAAACAGCUCAAUACUGACAUAUGCAUUUUAGACAUAUACGGUCAUAAUUCUUCUAGUAAUCUGAGUCUGACUUAUGCCUAUAAGCUGUUCACUCACUUGCAAAUAUACAACUUGGUAAGCUGGCUGGAACAAGUGCAGGAAAUUUCUCAAUCAGGAGUGGGUGGUUCUGAUCAUUCUUGGAAGACUGGCUUUCCUCCAAUUCCUCCAUCUGUGGAAGGCUGUCAUUUCUUGUUAAGACUAUUAGAAAUCAGUACCUCUCGGUUGUCUUGAUCAAGGCUAGCUAGCAUAAACAAGGGGUCAGCAUGCAGGCCUAUUCGGCUGGGGCCGAAGUUAUUGGCACUCAUGGUUUCAGCAGGUGUAAUCAGCUUGAAUUGACUGCAGCACCAACAAAAAUCGACAUCUAAUCAAAAUGAUUUUGGCUUAUGGUUAUCAUGAUCGGUGGUUAGGCCUGCUGGUUGCUGCAUGACUUUAGCUGUUAGGUGGGUGUGAUGGUGCCACGGUUGCAGUCUUCUGCAACCUAUGGUAUUCUGCUAUGGCAGCUGCUUGCAUCUCCAUGAUUGAAAUAUUUCUUCCACAAGUGUACAUGAUGUUUGUUUUGACUUGAGUAAGACACUUGUUUUACCAUCAGAUUAUGUAUGACAGCUGCUCAAGGUUAAAAUUGGGAAAAUAAAAAUCAUUUUUCUUAUUUGUAUGGAA
Phoenix dactylifera (date palm) is the source of this 1143-nucleotide long non-coding RNA. RefSeq lists it as uncharacterized. Lineage: Eukaryota; Viridiplantae; Streptophyta; Magnoliopsida; Arecales; Arecaceae. The record is from RefSeq and is a predicted model, not a curated record.